This is a non-coding RNA of Osmia lignaria (orchard mason bee), 1402 nucleotides long. Lineage: Eukaryota; Metazoa; Arthropoda; Insecta; Hymenoptera; Megachilidae. The record is from RefSeq and is a predicted model, not a curated record.
CGGUCGACAUCCUGGAGGGCUGCCAACGUAUUCAGGGAGGCAAGAACAGACAGCUUGGCCAUUUGUAACACGGCACUGACUGUUGGGCCCGCAUGGCGACGGGCUACACGGGUUUCUUUCGAGAGGGGCUGCAAAUAUUACGAUGGAAGCGACGUAAUGAAGAAGCAUCUCUAAUAUUAUUUCUUCUCUACCGAGCAGCGUCCAUGGUAUGGCGAUGACAAUGAUAAAUGACCACAUUGCUGAAGUAUAAACUUACGAGUCGUCGGUUGAACGUAACAGUUCACGAAAGGAUCACCCGUGAAUCCAGCCAGACAAGUGCAGCUUGGCCAAGUUUGAGGGACAAUCGGAAUUCACGGUGCAUUCCGGUCGACAUCCUUCGUACGGGUUUCCUAUGUAAUCCGGGGCACAAGAACAGGAUCCUGCUCCGUUUAGUUCUUUGCAUAUCGCGUUAGGACCACAGGGUGAUGGUGUGCAGGGUGACUGCGGCGGGGAUUGAAUCUCAGCUAAAAAAAACGGGGUCACAGGGAAGCAUUGGGCGAACGGAUCGCCUGCGUAGCCACUGAGACAGGCGCACAUCGGUGUAUGACUGACCACCCGACACUCCGCGUUCGAACCACACGAGCCUGGGCAUGGAUCUUGACACUUUCGAUUGAUGCAGGCCAAAUCGCUUGAACACUCGCUGUUGCUCACACAUUCCGGUCUACAAUUUGGCGGGGAACCGAUAAAGUUGGGCAAACAGGCGCAAGACGGUUUGUCAUUGAUCAUUUGGAACACGGAAUUGGGACCGCAUUGACAAGAGGCACACGUGUCUUCCUGUGUUGCGCUCACAGCUACAGGGAUAGAAGGAGUAUCAACAAUUUUAAUUGACCGUUUAAAUAAUUUCUGAAUUAAUUCUGUAGGGAAAGCGAUAAGAAGGUCUUACUGAUGAAUUCGCAUCUAGCGAAGGGGUCGCCUGUGAAGCCAGAUGGACAGCUGCACACAGGAUUAUGGUUGACGACUUGACAAAGUGCUUUCAGCCCACAAGUACCCAAACAAGGGUCGAUACACUUCUGGUUGUUACAAGCUUGGUUCCUAGGGCAAUCUGAACUGACCACGCACUCUGGCCUACACGAGGGUGGAGUACCAAGAUAUCCUGGCACGCAGGAACAUACGGCUUGUUCGUUUAUUGCUCGACAUUGACUGUUGGGUCCGCAGGGGGACGGGUUACAGGGGUUCACUAAAAUUGGUUCUAAAGCAGGAAUAAUAUGAAUGUCCAUCAAUUCUUAUCAAUGUGGGCAACUGCACAUGGGUACAUGGUUCAGGACAUUGCAUAGCGUAUUCCUGCCACAGGUACCUAUACACGGAUCCACGCACUUGUUGCGAACACAGGCUCUGUUCAGAGGACAGUCAUUGUUAAGGACAC